GACGAACGCUGGCGGCGUGCUUAACACAUGCAAGUCGAACGGAAAGGCCCUGCUUUUGUGGGGUGCUCGAGUGGCGAACGGGUGAGUAACACGUGAGUAACCUGCCCUUGACUUUGAGAUAACUUCAGGAAACUGGGGCUAAUACCGGAUAGGAGCUCCUGCUGCAUGGUGGGGGUUGGAAAGUUUCGGCGGUUGGGGAUGGACUCGCGGCUUAUCAGCUUGUUGGUGGGGUAGUGGCUUACCAAGGCUUUGACGGGUAGCCGGCCUGAGAGGGUGACCGGCCACAUUGGGACUGAGAUACGGCCCAGACUCCUACGGGAGGCAGCGGUGGGGAAUAUUGCACAAUGGGCGGAAGCCUGAUGCAGCAACGCCGCGUGCGGGAUGACGGCCUUCGGGUUGUAAACCGCUUUCGCCUGUGACGAAGCGUGAGUGACGGUAAUGGGUAAAGAAGCACCGGCUAACUACGUG
RNAcentral lists this ribosomal RNA (468 nucleotides) under uncultured bacterium. RNAcentral describes it as "partial 16S ribosomal RNA". It matches the Rfam family "Bacterial small subunit ribosomal RNA", at positions 28 to 507 of the family's 1533-position model. The record is from RNAcentral.